This 253-nucleotide ribosomal RNA is filed under the name uncultured bacterium. RNAcentral describes it as "partial 16S ribosomal RNA". It matches the Rfam family "Bacterial small subunit ribosomal RNA", at positions 524 to 776 of the family's 1533-position model. The record is from RNAcentral.
UACAGAGGUGGCAAGCGUUGUUCGGAAUUACUGGGCGUAAAGGGCGCGUAGGCGGCCCGUCAAGUCCCGUGUGAAAGCCCCCGGCUCAACCGGGGAACGGCGCGGGAAACUAGCAGGCUUGAGUUCGGGAGAGGGAUGCGGAAUUCCAGGUGUAGCGGUGAAAUGCGUAGAUAUCUGGAGGAACACCGGUGGCGAAGGCGGCAUCCUGGACCGAUACUGACGCUGAGGAGCGAAAGCCAGGGGAGCAAACGGG